GAAUAUUGGACAAUGGGGGGAACCCUGAUCCAGCCAUGCCGCGUGUGUGAAGAAGGCCUUUUGGUUGUAAAGCACUUUAAGCGGGGAGGAGGCUACUUAGAUUAAUACUCUAGGAUAGUGGACGUUACUCGCAGAAUCAGCACCGGCUAACUCUGGGCCAGAAGCCGCGGUCAUACAGAGGGUGCAAGCGUUAGUCGGCUUUACUGGGCGUAAAGCGCGCUUAGGUGGCCAAUUAAGUCAAAUGUGAAAUCCCCGAGCUUAACUUUGGAAUUGCAUUCGAUACUGGUCGGCUAGAGUAUGGGAGAGGAUGGUAGAAUUCCAGGUGUAGCGGUGAAAUGCGUAGAGAUCUGGAGGAAUACCGAUGGCGAAGGCAGCCAUCUGGCCUAAUACUGACACUGAGGUGCGAAAGCAUGGGGAGCAAACAG
Molecule: ribosomal RNA, 425 nt
Filed under: uncultured bacterium
Lineage: Bacteria
Description: partial 16S ribosomal RNA
Rfam family: Bacterial small subunit ribosomal RNA
Source: RNAcentral